This is a non-coding RNA of Singulisphaera acidiphila DSM 18658, 94 nucleotides long. The record is from Rfam. NCBI's taxonomy places the organism in Bacteria, Pseudomonadati, Planctomycetota, Planctomycetia, Isosphaerales, Isosphaeraceae.
CUCAUCGCGAGGUGGGAUGGGAUCUGAAGGAAGCUAAUGCCUAACCUCGGACUCGACGAACAGAAACCCGGAUGCAGGGCGACACGGUGAGGUC